Molecule: ribosomal RNA, 406 nt
Filed under: uncultured bacterium
Lineage: Bacteria
Description: partial 16S ribosomal RNA
Rfam family: Bacterial small subunit ribosomal RNA
Source: RNAcentral
AUUGAACGCUGGCGACAGGCCUAACACAUGCAAGUCGAACGAGUGGCGGACGGGUGAGUAAUGUCUGGGAAACUGCCUGAUGGAGGGGGAUAACUACUGGAAACGGUAGCUAAUACCGCAUACCAUCGGAUUUGCCCAGAUGGGAUUAGCUAGUGGGUGGGGUAAAGGCUCACCUAGGCGACGAUCCCUAGCUGGUCUGAGAGGAUGACCAGCCACACUGGAACUUAGACACGGUCCAGAUUCCUACGGGAGGCAGCAGUGGGGAAUAUUGCACAAGGGGCGCAAGCCUGAUGCAGCCAUGCCGCGUGUAUGAAGAAGGCCUUCGGGUUGUAAAGUACUUUCAGCGGGGAGGCGUUACCCGCAGAAGAAGCACCGGCUAACUCCGUGCCAGCAGCCGCGGUAAUUC